GUUUGUUUUUUUGAGCGUUCGGUGGAUGCCUUGGCAUCAGGGGCCGAUGAAGGACGUGGUGGCCUGCGAUAUUCCUCGGGGAGCCGGCUGGCGGGCUGUGAUCCGAGGGUUUCCGAAUGGGGGGACCCGGCACGAGUUAUGUCGUGUCACCUGCAUCUGAAUUGUAUAGGGUGUGGGGGGUGACGCGGGGAAGUGAAACAUCUCAGUACCCGUAGGAGAAGAUAUUCCGUGAGUAGUGGCGAGCGAAAGCGGAUGAUGGUUAAACCGUGUGCGUGUGAUACUCGGCAGGGGUUGCGUGUGCGGGGUUGUGGGGCUGUCCUGUUUUCUCUUCUGCCGGAGAGGGGGCGCGUGUGCUGGCCGGUAGCUGAAUCGUCUGGGAAGGCGUGGCGUAGUGGGUGAUACCCCCGUAGGCGGAACUGGUUGGUGCGUGUCUGGGACGGUGCCCGAGUAGCACGGGGCUCGUGGAAUCCUGUGUGAAUCUGCCAAGACCACUUGGCUGCCUGAAUACCUCCUGAUGACCGAUAGUGGAUAGUACCGUGAGGGAAUGGUGAAAAGUACCCCGGGAGGGGAGUGAAAUAGUACCUGAAACCGGGCGCUUACAAGCCGUCAGAGCCUUCAUGCGCCUUGUGUGUGUGGGGGUGGUGGCGUGCCUUUUGAAGAAUGAGCCUGCGAGUCAGUGGCGUGUCGCGAGGUUAACCCGUGUGGGGUAGCCGUAGCGAGAGCGAGUCCGAAUAGGGCGAUGUUGUAGUGGCGCGUUCUGGACCCGAAGCGGGGUGAUCUACCCAUGGCCAGGUUGAAGCACGUGUAAGAGCGUGUGGAGGACCGAACCCACCUAGGUUGAAAACUGGGGGGAUGAGCUGUGGGUAGGGGUGAAAGGCCAAUCAAACUCCGUGAUAGCUGGUUCUCCCCGAAAUGCAUUUAGGUGCAGCGUUGCGUGGUCCCUGGUGGAGGUAGAGCUACUGGAUGGCCGAUGGGCCCGAUGGGUUACUGACGUCAGCCAAACUCCGAAUGCCAUUAGGUGUAGCGUGGCAGUGAGACUGCGGGGGAUAAGCUUCGUAGUCGAGAGGGAAACAGCCCAGAUCAUCAGCUAAGGCCCCUAAGCGUACGCUAAGUGGGAAAGGAUGUGGAGUCGCGGUGACAACCAGGAGGUUGGCUUAGAAGCAGCCAUCCUUGAAAGAGUGCGUAAUAGCUCACUGGUCAAGUGAUCGUGCGCCGACAAUGUAGCGGGGCUCAAGCACACCGCCGAAGCCGCGGACCCACAGCAGUGUUCCCUUCACUGUCCGGCUUGCCCGGGUGGUGGCAGGGGUUGUGGGUGGUAGGGGAGCGUCCUGCACCGGGGGAAGCCUGUGGGUGACUGCUGGUGGACGGUGCGGGAGUGAGAAUGCAGGCAUGAGUAGCGAUACUAGGGUGAGAAGCCCUAGCGCCGAAUGACCAAGGGUUCCAGGGCCAGGCUAGUCCGCCCUGGGUGAGUCGGGACCUAAGGCGAGGCCGACAGGCGUAGUCGAUGGAUGACGGGUUGAUAUUCCCGUACCGGCGAAGCACCGCCCAUGCUGACGCGCGGGUGCUAACCCACGCCCAACCACCAUGUAAGCCGCAUGUGUCAGGUUCGCCUGACGGUGUGGUUGUGGUGGUGGGGUCUGGGGAUCCUCCGUGCAGGUAGGCAAGCGUGUUAACAGGGGUGACGCACAGUGGUAGCCCGGCGGACCUGAUGGCUUGGUCCGUUCAAGCGCGCAGCCCGUCUCCCAGGUAAAUCCGGGGGACUGUCUUUGAUGACGGGGGUGAGGCGUGAUGGUGACCUCACUUUGGUGGGGGAUAACAGGGUGAUCCUGGGGUGCCGAGAAAAGCCUCGACGCGAUGGUGCCAGCCGCCCGUACCCUAAACCGACACAGGUGGUCGGGCAGAGUAUGCCUAGGCGCACGAGUGAAUCAUGGUUAAGGAACUCGGCAAAAUGCCCCCGUAACUUCGGGAGAAGGGGGGCCUGAUCCCUGAAGCCCCGUUUGCGGGCUAGGGGGGAGGGUCGCAGAGGCCAGGGGGAAGCGACUGUUUACUAAAAACACAGGUCCGUGCGAAGCCGUAAGGCGAUGUAUACGGACUGACGCCUGCCCGGUGCUGGAAGGUUAAGAGGAACCAUCAACCCUCGGGUGAAGUGGUGAAUUUAAGCCCCAGUAAACGGCGGUGGUAACUAUAACCAUCCUAAGGUAGCGAAAUUCCUUGUCGGGUAAGUUCCGACCUGCACGAAUGGCGUAACGACUUCCCCGCUGUCUCAACCAUGAGCUCGGCGAAAUUGCAGUACGAGUAAAGAUGCUCGUUUCGCGCAGAAGGACGGAAAGACCCCGGGACCUUUACUAUAGCUUGGUAUUGG
RNAcentral lists this ribosomal RNA (2362 nucleotides) under human metagenome. RNAcentral's name for it is "bacterial LSU rRNA". It matches the Rfam family "Bacterial large subunit ribosomal RNA", at positions 1 to 2120 of the family's 2925-position model. The record is from RNAcentral.